UUUGGAAGUGAUAAAGGAGAUUGAGGACGGCUGGUGGCUGGGAAAGAAGAACGGGCAAUUGGGAGCCUUCCCAUCCAACUUUGUGGAAUUGCUGGACAGUGGGCCCCCAAGCCUUGGAAACACAGACAUGCCUUCGAUCAUUCCUACUUCACAGAGGCCUCCUAAGCUGAGCAACUUGACCUAUGACAGCCCUCCAGAUUACCUGCGGACAGUCUCCUGCCCUGAGACCUGCAGGGUCCUGUUU
This 244-nucleotide long non-coding RNA is filed under the name Rattus norvegicus (Norway rat). RNAcentral's name for it is "long non-coding RNA NONRATT023598". Lineage: Eukaryota; Metazoa; Chordata; Mammalia; Rodentia; Muridae. The record is from RNAcentral.